UACAGAGGGGGCAAGCGUUGUUCGGAAUUACUGGGCGUAAAGGGCGCGUAGGCGGCCUGCUAAGUCGAACGUGAAAUCCCCGGGCUCAACCCGGGAACUGCGUCCGAUACUGGCAGGCUUGAAUCCGGGAGAGGGAUGUGGAAUUCCAGGUGUAGCGGUGAAAUGCGUAGAUAUCGGGAAGAACACCCGUGGCGAAGGCGGUGUGCUGGGUUGCAACUGACGCUGAGAUGCGAAAGUGUGGGGAGCAAACGGG
This 253-nucleotide ribosomal RNA is filed under the name uncultured bacterium. Its description in RNAcentral is "partial 16S ribosomal RNA". It matches the Rfam family "Bacterial small subunit ribosomal RNA", at positions 524 to 776 of the family's 1533-position model. The record is from RNAcentral.